AGAUCAAGCUUGCUUUGGUUUGGUGAGAGUGGCGCACGGGUGCGUAACGCGUGAGCAACCUACCCUUGUCAGGGGGAUAGCCCGGCGAAAGUCGGAUUAAUACCGCAUGACAUCAUUGAGAGGCAUCUUUCUAUGAUCAAAGAUUUAUCGGACAAGGAUGGGCUCGCGUGACAUUAGCUAGUUGGUAAGGUAACGGCUUACCAAGGCUACGAUGUCUAGGGGCUCUGAGAGGAGAAUCCCCCACACUGGUACUGAGACACGGACCAGACUCCUACGGGAGGCAGCAGUAAGGAAUAUUGGUCAAUGGACGGAAGUCUGAACCAGCCAUGCCGCGUGCAGGAAGACGGCCCUAUGGGUUGUAAACUGCUUUUAUACGGGAACAAACGUCGGUACGUGUACCGGUCUGAGUGUACCGUAAGAAUAAGGAUCGGCUAACUCCGUGCCAGCAGCCGCGGUAAUACGGAGGAUCCGAGCGUUAUCCGGAAUUAUUGGGUUUAAAGGGUGCGUAGGCGGCCAGAUAAGUCAGGGGUGAAAGUCGGCAGCUCAACUGUCGCAGUGCCUUUGAUACUGUUUGGCUUGAAUUCGGUUGAAGAUGGCGGAAUGAGACAAGUAGCGGUGAAUGCAUAGAUAUGUCUCAGAACACGAUUGCGAGGCAUUAUCUAAGC
Molecule: ribosomal RNA, 665 nt
Filed under: uncultured bacterium
Lineage: Bacteria
Description: bacterial SSU rRNA
Rfam family: Bacterial small subunit ribosomal RNA
Source: RNAcentral